AGUAGUUUGACUCCGUGGCUACGAGGACGAACGCUGGCGGCGUGCUUAACACAUGCAAGUCGAACGGUGAACCAGAGCUUGCUCUGGGAGGUCAGUGGCGAACGGGUGAGUAACACGUGGGCAACCUGCCCCAGACUCUGGGAUAACCUCGGGAAACCGAUGCUAAUACCGGAUACGACCACUUCGGACAUCCGACGGUGGUGGAAAGUUUUCGGUCUGGGAUGGGCCCGCGGCCUAUCAGCUAGUUGGUGGGGUAAUGGCUUACCAAGGCGACGACGGGUAGCCGGCCUGAGAGGGCGACCGGCCACACUGGAACUGAGACACGGUCCAGACUCCUACGGGAGGCAGCAGUGAGGAAUAUUGCACAAUGGGCGAAAGCCUGAUGCAGCGACGCCGCGUGAGGGACGACGGCCUUCGGGUUGUAAACCUCUUUCAGCAGGGACGAAGCGAAAGUGACUGUACCUGCAGAAGAAGCACCGGCUAACUACGUG
RNAcentral lists this ribosomal RNA (491 nucleotides) under uncultured bacterium. RNAcentral's name for it is "bacterial SSU rRNA". It matches the Rfam family "Bacterial small subunit ribosomal RNA", at positions 1 to 507 of the family's 1533-position model. The record is from RNAcentral.